GUGCUCACUUCAGCAGCACAUAUACUAAAAUUGAAACAAUACAGGGAAGAUUAGUAUGGCCCCCCGAGCAAGGAUGGCAUGCAAAUUCGUGAAGCACUCCAUACUUAC
Molecule: small nuclear RNA, 108 nt
Organism: Eptesicus fuscus (big brown bat)
Lineage: Eukaryota; Metazoa; Chordata; Mammalia; Chiroptera; Vespertilionidae
Source: RefSeq, a predicted model, not a curated record